This is a long non-coding RNA of Arabidopsis thaliana (thale cress), 319 nucleotides long. RefSeq annotates it as other RNA. NCBI's taxonomy places the organism in Eukaryota, Viridiplantae, Streptophyta, Magnoliopsida, Brassicales, Brassicaceae. The record is from RefSeq. The transcript has a single exon.
ACAAAACAGAGAAAAUUGCCUUGAGGUUGAAAUUUACCAGUUUGAGGAUGCGGGCUUCGUGCAGCUGCAGGUUUAGGCUAAACCUAAUAUCUAACGCGAGAAUACAAGUAAAAACAUUUAAAGAUAAAAACCCACUAAAACUCUCCCCACAGACACUAUGUGACACAAUUUCAUCACAAAUGGAAUCAUUAGAUUUUCACAGACAAAUCAACAAACACCUUCCGUGCAUAUACAAAGUGAACCAAACUUUGAGCUAGAGAACCGCAAGUAAAUUCAUACACGAACAAGAACUCACAUAUCUUUGCGUGGAUUAAUGAGA